Long non-coding RNA from Pectinophora gossypiella (pink bollworm), 766 nucleotides. RefSeq lists it as uncharacterized. Lineage: Eukaryota; Metazoa; Arthropoda; Insecta; Lepidoptera; Gelechiidae. The record is from RefSeq and is a predicted model, not a curated record. The transcript is spliced from 3 exons.
GAGCUAGAGAGUGAUUUUGAUUCUUUUAUAAAUAGUUAAAUUAAUUGAUCACACUAUUAGGAAAAAGCUUCCGCUAUGGGAAUUAUAUCAUGAAAAAACUUGAUUCGAACACGGACAGAUCAAAAUAAGUGAGAAGUAUAUACGGCGCGUAUGAUAAAGAAGAUCGAGUGCUGGCAUCCGCGCUGUACUCGUGUUACCUGAUGUCAAAGGAGCUGGGUGAACAAGUUGAAACUUGUAGCUUAAAUAAGUAUGAACAGGUAAUAUUCGUUUAUUGUGUUAUUGUGUGCAUAAACUACCUAUUACUUUAUUUUAUAUGUGUUGAGGGGUAUAGUCUAAUCUGUCAUUGUAUUUUCAGUUACUCGUGGAGAAAGACGUAGACACCGUUGACGGUUAAAAAUCAUCAUCAUAAUUUCGAAGGUGUAGCACUAAAAGCGAUGCCUGCUAAGUACUUUGAACAUGUCGAAUAAUUUAACAAACGUUAACGAAGAUGAUUUAUUCUACCCUUACGCGCAAGAUCCGCUUGCUGACUUCGAUGAAAGGUAUCCUGUUCAAGCGACUACCACAAAAUCGACGGCGCCUCAUGAUAACAAGAGUCAAAAGCUGAAAAGUGAUAAGAAGAAGAAGAGGAAGAUAAUUAAAUCUAAAGUUAAAUGCGGAAAAUGGAAGCAGUCAUCUUCAUUUGUGCAAAAUCGGAACGCGGAGAAAGCCACCAAGUUAAUUAAAAUCAGUAUACUGGAUUUAGGUGCUUCAAAUACAAGUGAAAAUC